Molecule: long non-coding RNA, 3477 nt
Filed under: Gossypium barbadense (sea-island cotton)
Lineage: Eukaryota; Viridiplantae; Streptophyta; Magnoliopsida; Malvales; Malvaceae
Description: long non-coding RNA (GBAR_LNC021323)
Source: RNAcentral
UAUCUAACCCUUGCACUUGGAAUUGAAACACUUCUUCUAGUGAAGCACAAUCAAUCACUAUUAGUUUUUCCAAUCUUUGGAAAACCCCCAAAAGAAAAGGUGGAAAGAUGUUCAACAACACAUCACAUUCCUUAACAGUCAACUCUUUUAGCAUAGAAAAGGAAUUCUUAUGAAGUUUGCUGUGCCAUAUCCUCUUUGCGUUCCUCAAAUGGGAGAUUGUGAUUUUCUCCAAGUUAGGAAAAGCAACCUGCAUAAUGAUAGAAAGAGCUAAUUACAAUUAGAAAUAAAUUAUAUAAAAUGUUAGCUCAUGGAUGCUUAGGUGAAGGUAUCGGUAAAUCAUAUAAUUAAGACAAUUGGAAUCAUUGGCCGUUUGAGAAGAGCCUAAAUGAGCUUAAUAUAAAAUUAAUUGGCUUUUUUGUAUGUAACUACUUACAAAAAUACAGACACUAAUUUUUAAUAUUACAUGUAUUGCACAUAAUUUAAUAUAUUUAAUUUUUAUAUAAUGCUUUUUUAAUUAUUAUAAUUAAUUCUUAAUUCAAAAUUUUGAAUUUAAUUAUUUGAGAAUUCAAACAUAAUAAGAAAAAAGCUUCGCAAUAAAACAAUAUAUUCAAAAUACAAGAAGGCACAUAAUAAGGGUAGCAUUCAUAAUAGAAUUUGCUAUUAAUGGGAUAACAAAGUGAUAGGCUUUUCCAAAUACACUUAAACAUAUAUGCAAAUAUGCUAGCUGGUUUUGAAUAAUUUCAAUUUUAUUAGUUAAUCAAUUCUUCCACAAUUUUUUUAAUUUUUAAUUCAAUUUACUAUUCAACAUUGUUCUUCAAUAAUUUGAAGACAAAGUUUACUAUAGAAUAAUACUCUUUCAAAUAUAUUGUUUUAAUAAUAGUAGAAAAUAUUUAAAAUUAAAAAAGACACAAAACCUUUGCUGGAAGAAAAUGGCUAAAUAUUUUUUCUAAUUCCUAGCUUUAUUGUUGUUUCAUUCUUCAAGUUGCUGUGGACUGUAGAUGAUAUUAGAGAGGAGUAAAGAUAUAGCUCAUGAUUCAUCACUAGCCAUAUGACUUAAAUGUAUAAAUCAAGAUUCGUUAAAAGAAAAACUAACCUUAUCGGAGAAAAUUACAGUAACAUUAUCAACUUCGUCACCAAUUAUCACUUCUUUAUCUUCAUCUCUUGAAAAUGUGCAAACAAAAGUAGUCAUGUUUGAACAAUCAACUAUCUUAAGUUCAACCAAGGAUGGACAUUCAAGACCUUUACUUCCCAUGUAAAAGCUUGUCAUAUCUGGACAAGACUCCACUGUAACGGAUCGUAGACGAGGGAAUAUGCUAAUAAUCUUGCUACUAUCUGUUAUUGCUUCCUUAACCAUUGCAAUUGGACCCUCUUCUUUGAUGACUUGUUCCAAAUUACCGCAUCUCUUUAUUUCCAUUUGCCGGAGUUGCCUCAGGCCAAAGGCCAUUGAGAGGUUAAAAAUGUAUCUCAAAUUGUUGGAAUCACAAACCUCUAGAAAUUCAAGAGUUGUAAAAUAAAAAAUUUCUUGAGGAUUUCUACUCCAUAUGUCCACCAGUUCCGGAAACUCUGAAAACUUCAAAUGCUUUAGACCACGGUAUCCAACCUGAGAAGCAACAUAUAAAAAAGUCGAAGUUUCAUACCAACAUAUUUAACAAGGCGCCACAAUGCUAUUGUGAAAAUAAAUUGCACAAAUCAUAAUUAAAUGUAUAUAUAUAUAUUUCAAUUAAUUUUUAAAUCAGUACCUGCUCUUGGUAUAAUUGCUCCACGGUGGCAUUAAGGUCACCAGCCCAACGUCCCGUAAAAUCUGUUUGUGUUAAUUGCAAUUUUUGCAGCUUUGGUGUUGUUAACUCUCCUUUAUUGAAGUUCUUCAUUCGAGGGCACUGGCUCAAAGUAACUUGUUCCAAGGAAGGAAACCUUAAGGCGUAAUUCCUUGAACAAAAGCUCGUGAGGCUUUGUAAACAAUGAAGCUCCAAACAUUUCAGCGCUCUGAAAACAAUCUCGUAUGAUGUUUCAUCCCCGUCGCUUGCAACUACUUCUCUCAUCCUUUCACAUUUUCUUAUCCUCAUUGUAACAAGGCACGCCAAACUUCGAGCUUUGGAAGAUGUUAUCAGCUCUAACAUCUCGUCGCAAUUGAAGACAUCUAAAGUUGUAAGAUUUUCAGAAAAUGAAAUAUCUAAUCCUAAAUCAAUCAAAUUGCCACAAUUCCAAACUUCAAGACAUUCGAGACUCGCACAAAUAUGGCCAAGCGGGGAGUCUUGCUUCCAUUGAUGUCUUAUGUUGUUAACCAAAUCCAAUCUCAACUCCUUGACUUUAGGAAUUGUGAUAAUCAUGUCUUGAUCUUCACAUGCAUCAUUUCCGAAAGAAGCUAGCUCUUUGAAACUGCAAGAACCUAGGUCAAGACUUUCCAAAUUGUAAAACCUUCUAAGAAAAGAAAUGAGGAAAACAACUGAUACAUCAGAGUAGAAAGAAAUUCGAAGAAAUUUUAUAUUGCAAAAUAAGUCGGACUCAUGUUGGCCAUCACUUAUCAUCUUAAUACAAUCGCCAGUAAAUGAAACCUCCUCCAAUUGGGGGAUAACCUAAGAAGCAACAAGUAAGAACAAUGAGUACCGAAGAAUAGCUAUAACACAUAAUAUAAGCCCGUAAACGAACGAUGAAAUCAAUAGUUUGAAAUUAUGUAAGAAUAUGCAAUAAAAUAUGGAUUUGAUGAUUAUUUUAGUUCUUUUACAUUUUCAAAUGAAUAAUUGGAUGUAUUAGUUGAGAUAUACUAAAUGAUUUAACUACAAUUUAUAAAUUUUGCUAAAAAAGUGUGACAGUUCAUACCUUUUCAAUAAGGAAAAGCGAAUUUUGGAUUUGGGAUUCUUCAUGCCCAAAUAUCUUUAUCCUCCAACAAUCAGCCAUCCUCAAUUUCUUUAAUGCAGACCAUGUUGUUCUAUGUAUUCCUGGGUAGAAACAUGUUAGGUAUGGUAGAUGCCAAAGCUUAAGGAAGGACAACUGGUUAAAUGCAAACCAAAUUUCCUGCUCGUCUGAUCCUUCAUCAUUCUUUGAAACAAUCUCCUCCAGCCCACAACUUUCAAUAAAAAGUCUUUCAAGUUGCUGAAGACCUUUGGCAAUUGAAAAUGGAAACAAAGUUUUCAAGUUCCAACAAUCCUCAAUGCAUACUUGUUGUAGACUUUCAAAUGAAAUAUUUCCUUUGUGAUACUUGGUCCAAACAUGCUUCAACCCUGGUAGGCGAACGAGAUCCAGUUCUCUUAGUUGACUAGCUACCACAUCCGUUUCUUCAGUAUCUAACCCUUGCACUUGGAAUUGAAACACUUCUUCUAGUGAAGCACAAUCAAUCACUAUUAAUUUUUCCAAUCUUUGGAAAACCCCCAAAAGAAAAGGUGGAAAGAUGUUCAACAACACAUCACAUUCCUUAACAGUCAACUCUUUUAGCAUAGAAAAGGAAUUCUUAUGAAGUUUGCUGUGCCAUAUCCUCUUUGC